UACGUAGGGGGCUAGCGUUGUCCGGAAUCAUUGGGCGUAAAGCGCGCGUAGGCGGCCAGAUAAGUCCGGUGUGAAAGCCACAGGCUCAACCUGUGAAUGCCGCUGGAAACUGUCUGGCUAGAGUCCGGGAGGGGCGAGUGGAAUUCCUGGUGUAGCGGUGAAAUGCGCAGAUAUCAGGAAGAACACCAAUGGCGAAGGCAGCUCUCUGGGACGGUACUGACACUGAGACGCGAAGGCCAGGGGAGCAAACGGG
RNAcentral lists this ribosomal RNA (253 nucleotides) under uncultured bacterium. RNAcentral's name for it is "partial 16S ribosomal RNA". It matches the Rfam family "Bacterial small subunit ribosomal RNA", at positions 524 to 776 of the family's 1533-position model. The record is from RNAcentral.